RNAcentral lists this ribosomal RNA (484 nucleotides) under uncultured organism. Its description in RNAcentral is "bacterial SSU rRNA". It matches the Rfam family "Bacterial small subunit ribosomal RNA", at positions 29 to 507 of the family's 1533-position model. The record is from RNAcentral.
AACGAACGCUGACGGUAUGCCUCAUACAUGCAAGUCGAGCGGGCACAGCAAUGUGUCAGCGGCGAACGGGUGAGUAACGCGUGAACAAUCUGCCCCCGAAUCCGGGAUAACGGUUCCAACGAGCCGCUAAUACCAGAUAGGUUAUUUAGGCCACCUGGCCUUUUUAAGAAAGUUCCAAUUGGAACGUUCGGGGAUGAGUUCGCGUCCCAUUAGCUAGUUGGCGGGGUAAAGGCCCACCAAGGCGACGAUGGGUAGCCGGCCUGAGAGGGUGAUCGGCCACAUUGGGACUGAGAUACGGCCCAGACUCCUACGGGAGGCAGCAGUAGGGAAUUUUGCGCAAUGGACGAAAGUCUGACGCAGCAAUACCGUGUGAGGGAUGAAGCAUUUCGGUGUGUAAACCUCUGUCGAUGAUGAAUAAAGCAUUGGGGAGUGGAAAGCCCCGGUGUUGAAGGUAAUCAUGAAGGAAGCACCGGCUAACUCUGUG